AACGAACGCUGGCGGCAUGCCUAAUACAUGCAAGUCGAACGAGCACUUCGGGUCCUGUGGCGCAUGGGUUUGUAAGGCGAGGGAACCUGCACACAGGUUUGGAAUAACUCUCAGAAAGGGGUGCUAAUACCGGACAAUGUCUUCGGCCCAAGGAUUUAUUGCCCUUGUUUGGGCCAGCGUUGAAUAAGCUAGUUGGUAGGGUAAAAGCCUACUACGGCGACGAUCCAUAACUGGUUUGAGAGGCAGAUCAGCAACACUGGGACUAGGACACGGCCCGGACUCCUACGGGAGGCGGGAGUGGGGAACAGAGGACAGUGGGCGAAAGCCUGAUCCACCAAGGCCGCUUGAGUGAUGUAAGCCUUAAGGUUGUAAAGCGCUAGUACCCGGGAUGAUAAUGACAGUACCGAGAGAAUAAGCUCCGGCUAACUCCGUG
RNAcentral lists this ribosomal RNA (433 nucleotides) under uncultured bacterium. Its description in RNAcentral is "partial 16S ribosomal RNA". It matches the Rfam family "Bacterial small subunit ribosomal RNA", at positions 29 to 507 of the family's 1533-position model. The record is from RNAcentral.